UGGCUCAAUGGGAAAGAAGGUGUUAGACA
Molecule: non-coding RNA, 29 nt
Filed under: Homo sapiens (human)
Lineage: Eukaryota; Metazoa; Chordata; Mammalia; Primates; Hominidae
Source: RNAcentral